This 253-nucleotide ribosomal RNA is filed under the name uncultured bacterium. RNAcentral's name for it is "partial 16S ribosomal RNA". It matches the Rfam family "Bacterial small subunit ribosomal RNA", at positions 524 to 776 of the family's 1533-position model. The record is from RNAcentral.
UACAGGGGGGGCAAGCGUUGUUCGGAAUUACUGGGCGUAAAGGGCUCGUAGGCGGCCAACUAAGUCCGACGUGAAAUCCCAAAGCUUAACUUUGGAACUGCGUCGGAUACUGGAUGGCUUGAAUUCGGGAGAGGGAUGCAGAAUUCCAGGUGUAGCGGUGAAAUGCGUAGAUAUCUGGAGGAACACCGAUGGCGAAGGCAGGUCUCUGGGCAUUAACUGACGCUGAGGAGCGAAAGCAUGGGGAGCGAACAGG